GUGUGAUGGGGGUCACAUCUCUUCUUAUUUGUGAGGUUCUUAGCUGUGUGAUGGGGGUCACUUCUCUACUUAUUUGUGAGGUGCUUAGCUGUGUGAUGGGAGUCACUUCUCUACUUAUUUGUGAGGUGCUUAGCUUUGUGAUGGGGGGUCAGUUCUGUUCUUAUUUCGGAGUUUCUUAGCUGUGUGAUAGGGGUCACAUCUCUUCUUAUUUGUGAGGUUCUUAGCUGUGUGAUGGGAGUCACUUCUGUACUUAUUUGAGAAGCUCUUAGCUGUGUGAUUGGGGGUCACUUCUCUACUUAUUUGUGAGGUUCUUAGCUG
This is a long non-coding RNA of Oncorhynchus tshawytscha (Chinook salmon), 318 nucleotides long. Lineage: Eukaryota; Metazoa; Chordata; Actinopteri; Salmoniformes; Salmonidae. The record is from Ensembl.